AACGAACGCUGGCGGCAUGCCUAACACAUGCAAGUCGAACGAGACCUUCGGGUCGAGUGGCGCAGGGGUGCGUAACGCGUGGGAACCUGCCCUGAGGCUCGGUAUAACUCCCCGACAGGGGUGCUUAUACCGGAGAAUGUCCGCGGACCAAAGAUUUAUCGCCUUUGGAUGUGCCCGCGUUAGAUUAGCUAGUUGGUAGGGUAAAAGCAUACCAAGGCGACGAUCUGUAGCUGGUCUGAGAGGAUGAUCAGCCACACUGGGACUGAGACACGGCCCAGACUCCUACGGGAGGCAGCAGUGGGGAAUAUUGGACAAUGGGCGAAAGCCUGAUCCAGCCAUGCCGCGUGAGUGAUGAAGGCCUUCGGGUUGUAAAGCUCUUUUAGCCGGGAUGAUAAUGACAGUACCGGGAGAAUAAGCCCCGGCUAACUCCGUG
RNAcentral lists this ribosomal RNA (433 nucleotides) under uncultured bacterium. RNAcentral's name for it is "partial 16S ribosomal RNA". It matches the Rfam family "Bacterial small subunit ribosomal RNA", at positions 29 to 507 of the family's 1533-position model. The record is from RNAcentral.